GGGCACUGAGUUCCCCGUUGUGAGGAGUAAGGACCUGGUGCCGAACGUCCCUGUGAGUUGCUGUCCUGGAGGGGGAUCCUCCAGCCCAGUCAAGCCUUCAGAAAACUGCAGCCCCAGCCCACAUUGUGACUUCAUGAGAUUCCCUCUGCCACAGUAACCAGGCAGUGCUGCCAAUAUGGCUGAUCACUAGAUAACCAAAACCCUCGGAAGAUAAAGAAUAAUAAUUUGAUUUUGUUCUUAAAGUACCAAUAGGAAAUUUUUUUUUAAGUAAAAAAGUGGGGAAAAGCAUUCUAAGCAUAGUAGAUGGUGCAUCUAAGGGCACAGGGCCCCUUCCUACUCCCGCGCUGAAAGAUCACAGUUCUGAUGGCAGUAGUGAGGACACAGCUCCUCUGGGCUGAAAAGACUUUGUGAAGUCCCCUCCUCCAUCUCCCACUCCUAGUCCCAGUUU
Molecule: non-coding RNA, 448 nt
Organism: Oryctolagus cuniculus (rabbit)
Lineage: Eukaryota; Metazoa; Chordata; Mammalia; Lagomorpha; Leporidae
Source: RefSeq, a predicted model, not a curated record